CCCGCCCAGCGCUGACGCCUCCUCCCCGGCAGUUGGGUGACAUGUCGGCCGCCGCUGGUGACUCCUCGGCCCGGGCUCGGCCCCCCCGCACCCCGAAGUGCUCCCGGUGCCGCAAUCACGGGCUGGUGGUGCCGGUGCGGGGCCACUCCGGGAGCUGCGUGUGGCGGCUCUGCACCUGCCCCAAGUGCGCCCUCAUCACCGAGCGCCGCAAGAUCCUGGCCGCCCACAAGCAGCUCCGCAGCGCGGCGGGGAACCGGGCCCACACCCCCGAGGACGGGAGCGGGGACGCCACAACCGCCACACCGGAGCGCACCGGGAGCGCGCGGCUCUACCACCCGCGGCCCGUGCACGCAGCAGCAGCAGGGCACCCCGUCUUCCCCUCCGAGUGUGUGCCAGGCCUGGAUUACUUUGAAAGAGAGACCACCCGGAUGUACCUUGGCUGUCCUCCCAUGUAUCACUACCCGCCGUUCUCCCUUGGUAUGCCAGCGUCAGGGUUCAGAGGAGCUGCCAUUUCCCCCCCUGGCUUUCCAGUGAGAGGCAUCCAGCCAUGCCACCCUGUGAGUACAAGAUCUUCAGGAUGGAGGGGGAGACUUCCGUCACAGUUAUUACCCUCCAAUGCCUCCGUUCAUGCCACCUGGGUAUCUGUCUGGAAUACAUUACAUGCCCCCUAAUAUGCCUCUCAGUGUCAGCGUGAUGGCGGAGCCCAGGAGAGGUCUGACUGGUCACAGCUCAGCAGAGAACCAGAGUCUGAGGAUUGUGUCAGAGAGAAGUGUGCCACCAAACAAGGAGCCGAGCACCUAGCCACCCGGGGAAUCCUGCACAGUUACUAUACCAAUACAACAGAAAUGAAUUUACCACUAUUCAGGAGUGUAUCAAUAUGAUUAAUCACUUCCAUAACUUUCUUAAUCUUGUAUGUAUUUCUGAUUUCCAUUCACUGUUAACUGCACCAACCACCUACACACAGUGGAUGCGGUUAUGUUGUUGUCUGAGGUAAUAUACCUGAGACUGCCGCUGAUCGCUUACAUGGAGCCAUGUUGCUGUCUGAGGCAAUAUUCCUGAGAUUAUAGCCUAUCAUCUUACGCGGAGCCAUGUUGGUGUCUGAGGUAAUAUUCUUGAGACUAUAGCCUAUCACCUCACGUAGAGGCAUGUUGAUGUCUGAGGUAAUAUUCCUGAGACUAUAGCCUAUUACCUUACCCGGAGCCAUGUUGUUGUCUGAGGUAAUAUUCCUGAGAACGUCGUCUAUCACCUCACCAGGAGCCAUGUUGUGGUCUCAGGUAAUAUCCCUGAGAACGUCGUCUAUCAUCUCACGUGGAGCCAUUUUUCUGAGGGGAUAUUCCUGGUACUAUAGCCUAUCACCUCACAUAGAGCCAUGUUGUGUGAGGCAAUAUUCCUGAGAAUGUCGCCUAUCAUCUCACCACAAGCCAUUUGUCUGAAACAGUAUUCCUUGUACUAAAGCCAAUCACCUCAUGCGGAACCAUGUUGUUGUCUGAGGCAAUAUUCCUGAGAACAUCGCCUAUCAUCUCACCACAAGCCAUGUUGUUGUCUGAGGUAAUAUUUCUGAGAACUUCACCUAUCCCCUCACCCAAGCCAUUUGUCUGAAACAGUAUUCCUGGUACUAUAGCCUAUCACCUCAUGCAGAGUCAUGUUGUUGUCUGAGGCAAUAUUCCUGAGAACGUCGCCAAUCACCUCACGUGGAGCCAUGUAGUCUGAGGCAAUAUUCCCAAAAACAUUGUCUAUCACAUCGUGCGGAGCCAUGUUGCUGCCUGAGGUAAUAUUCCUGAGAAUGUCGCCUAUCCCCUCACUCAAGCCAUUUGUCUGAAACAGUAUUCUUGGUACUAUAGCCUUUCACCUCAUGCGAAGCCAUGUUGUCUGAGGCAAUAUUCCUGAGAACGUCGCCUAUCACCUUACGUGGAGCAUUGUAGUCUGAGGCAAUAUUCCCAAGCACAUUGUCUAUCACAUCACGCAGAGCCAUGUUGUUGUCUGAGGCAAUGAUCCUGAGACUAUAGCCUAUCACAUCAUGCAGAGCCAUGUUGUUGUCUGAGGUAAUAAUCCUGAAACUAUAGCCUAUCACAUCACGCAGAGCCAUGUUGUUGUCUGAGGUAAUAUUCUGGAGACUAUAGGCUAUUACCUCAUGCGGAACCAGUGACAUAACCCCGACAUACCGCACAUAUAGCACUGAUGGCCUGGAUUCCUAGUAAAAGAACAUUGGAUCAUUGACAAAUUGGCGGCUUUACUGGUUCAUACGGAGUUAGUACAUUCUCAGAAUUAUUGACCCAGUCAGCAAUGUGUCCUCCACACUGUAUAGAACAGAUACACCUAAAUGAAAAAAUAAUACACUCACACUAACGUUAUGCUGAUAUAUCUAUGUUUUCAGUAGAAAGCAGUUGAAACUGUUUGAGAUUUGCCGUCUCUCGUUCCCCUUACCACUUCUGUUAUUUCCAGUGUUAUCGCAGGUUUGCCAUUUGUGAUAAAAAAAUAUUGUAACAAAAUAUAUUUUACAGAUAAUAAAGUUGAUAUCUAUGUUUGCUAA
RNA transcript from Pseudophryne corroboree (corroboree frog), 2530 nucleotides. It is a transcript of the gene named DMRT like family B with proline rich C-terminal 1, with no coding region annotated. The transcript is spliced from 4 exons. The record is from RefSeq and is a predicted model, not a curated record. NCBI's taxonomy places the organism in Eukaryota, Metazoa, Chordata, Amphibia, Anura, Myobatrachidae.